Molecule: ribosomal RNA, 705 nt
Filed under: Salmonella enterica subsp. enterica serovar Thompson
Lineage: Bacteria; Pseudomonadati; Pseudomonadota; Gammaproteobacteria; Enterobacterales; Enterobacteriaceae
Also listed under: 1 other name
Description: partial 23S ribosomal RNA
Rfam family: Bacterial large subunit ribosomal RNA
Source: RNAcentral
UGGACCCGUAAUCCGGGUUGCGGACAGUGUCUGGUGGGUAGUUUGACUGGGGCGGUCUCCUCCUAAAGAGUAACGGAGGAGCACGAAGGUUGGCUAAUCCUGGUCGGACAUCAGGAGGUUAGUGCAAUGGCAUAAGCCAGCUUGACUGCGAGCGUGACGGCGCGAGCAGGUGCGAAAGCAGGUCAUAGUGAUCCGGUGGUUCUGAAUGGAAGGGCCAUCGCUCAACGGAUAAAAGGUACUCCGGGGAUAACAGGCUGAUACCGCCCAAGAGUUCAUAUCGACGGCGGUGUUUGGCACCUCGAUGUCGGCUCAUCACAUCCUGGGGCUGAAGUAGGUCCCAAGGGUAUGGCUGUUCGCCAUUUAAAGUGGUACGCGAGCUGGGUUUAGAACGUCGUGAGACAGUUCGGUCCCUAUCUGCCGUGGGCGCUGGAGAACUGAGGGGGGCUGCUCCUAGUACGAGAGGACCGGAGUGGACGCAUCACUGGUGUUCGGGUUGUCAUGCCAAUGGCACUGCCCGGUAGCUAAAUGCGGAAGAGAUAAGUGCUGAAAGCAUCUAAGCACGAAACUUGCCCCGAGAUGAGUUCUCCCUGAGACUUAGAGUCUCCUGAAGGAACGUUGAAGACGACGACGUUGAUAGGCCGGGUGUGUAAGCGCAGCGAUGCGUUGAGCUAACCGGUACUAAUGAACCGUGAGGCUUAACCUUAC